AACCAGAGGAUUAAGUUGUAUACUAUGGUAAAAAGACAGUUAGACAAAGUUUAUAAGGUUGAUUUGAUUGUACUAUCAGGAGGUAGAAUUCGAAAAUAGACAAAUAUAUAAAUUAAGACCAAUGUGUUGAAGCUGUGAUAACUUUGAGGGAAACUAGGAUUAGAUACCCUAUUAUUCAUUGAGAUAAAUAAGAAGUUUUCUACCAGAGUACUAAGAAUAAAAAAUUUAAAACUCAAAGGGCUUGGCGGUGUUUUAGACUACUUAGGGGAACCUGUCUCAUAAUCGACAAUCCACGUUAUACCUAACCUUUUUUUGCGCUCAGUUUGUAUACCAUCGUCGCCAGGUAACUUUUAAGAUAUUAACAGUUAGCUAGCUAAAUAAUUUACUUAAAACGUCAGAUCAUGGUGCAGCUAAUAAUGAGGUGUAGAUGGGUUACAAUUACCUUAACUUGUAAUACGGAUAACGACUUUAAAAUCAGUUGAAAGGAGGACUUAAAAGUAAAAUAAAUUAUAUAGAUGUAUUGAAUAAAGCUCUGAAGCGUGC
RNAcentral lists this ribosomal RNA (543 nucleotides) under Domiporta granatina. Its description in RNAcentral is "partial 12S ribosomal RNA". Lineage: Eukaryota; Metazoa; Mollusca; Gastropoda; Neogastropoda; Mitridae. The record is from RNAcentral.